Molecule: ribosomal RNA, 255 nt
Filed under: Triticum aestivum (bread wheat)
Lineage: Eukaryota; Viridiplantae; Streptophyta; Magnoliopsida; Poales; Poaceae
Description: partial small subunit ribosomal RNA
Source: RNAcentral
AUGAAUUGGCUAAGCUGGAACUGUCAUGGAGCGGGGAACCACUCAACAGUUUGUGAACUCGCGUCUCUUGUUAGGACGCACUCCCCAAGUCUUGUGUUCUUGUGUGAAACUAGACAAAAUAAAGAUAAGAUGUAUCGUUUGCGUAAUAGAUUAGGGCUUUCUGGUUUUGAAGCAGUCAGUAGUAAUGCUCGUAGUGGUGGCCUAGCACUGUUUUGGCAUGAGUCUAUGUACGUCGAGCAUGCAAGAAGCAAAUGA